CUGCUUUAAAAUGAGGUACUUUUCUUUCUCUCUUAAUUUGUAAUCCUUUUUUUCCUAUAUAAAAUAACAUCUCUAUCUUGUUGAAAUCUCUUUCUAACCUCUCUUUCCUAUAAAAUUACUCUCUUCUCUUCUUUAUCUCUCUAUUGGAAAUCUUUUUCUAACCUUUCUUUCCUAUAAAAUAACCCCCCUCUCCAACUCUCAGACCUCGAAAUCUCUUUCUAACUCUCAGGUCCUCUCCAUUUAUCAGUAUCUCUUCUUUCUUUUUCAUCUCCAU
RNAcentral lists this long non-coding RNA (274 nucleotides) under Amborella trichopoda. RNAcentral describes it as "long non-coding RNA (ATRI_LNC003713)". Lineage: Eukaryota; Viridiplantae; Streptophyta; Magnoliopsida; Amborellales; Amborellaceae. The record is from RNAcentral.